GUAGGAGGCGAACGUUAUUCGGAUUUACUGGGCGUAAAGGGAGCGUAGGCGGUUCCUUAAGUCAGAUGUGAAAUCUUCUGACUCAAUCAGAAGGGGUCAUUUGAUACUGAGGGACUUGAGAACAGCAGAGGGAAAUGGAAUCCCCAGUGUAGCGGUGAAAUGCGUAGAUAUUGGGGAGAACACCAGUGGCGAAGGCGAUUUUCCAGGUUGUUUCUGACGCUGAGGCUCGAAAGCGUGGGGAGCGAGGCGGGAUUAGAUACCCGCGUAGUCCACGCCCUAAACGGUGGACACUAGACAUGGGAGGUAUCGACCCUUUCUGUGUCGAAGCUAACGCCUUAAGUGUCCCGCCUGGGGGAGUACGGCCGCAAGGCUA
This 373-nucleotide ribosomal RNA is filed under the name uncultured organism. RNAcentral describes it as "partial 16S ribosomal RNA". It matches the Rfam family "Bacterial small subunit ribosomal RNA", at positions 527 to 896 of the family's 1533-position model. The record is from RNAcentral.